AAGAAAACUGAAUCGAAAACUCGUAUAAUUGCGGGAAUAUGGCCCGCAAGUCUCUACCAAGCUACCGUAAAUAGCUUGACUACGAGGAGAUGCGUGAGAGGA
Molecule: non-coding RNA, 102 nt
Filed under: Caldibacillus debilis
Lineage: Bacteria; Bacillati; Bacillota; Bacilli; Caryophanales; Bacillaceae
Also listed under: 1 other name
Description: Guanine sequence
Rfam family: Purine riboswitch aptamer
About the family: Riboswitches are metabolite binding domains within certain messenger RNAs that serve as precision sensors for their corresponding targets. Allosteric rearrangement of mRNA structure is mediated by ligand binding, and this results in modulation of gene expression. A class of riboswitches that selectively recognises guanine and becomes saturated at concentrations as low as 5 nM.
Source: RNAcentral